This 492-nucleotide ribosomal RNA is filed under the name uncultured bacterium. RNAcentral describes it as "partial 16S ribosomal RNA". It matches the Rfam family "Bacterial small subunit ribosomal RNA", at positions 30 to 507 of the family's 1533-position model. The record is from RNAcentral.
AUUGAACGCUGGCGGCAUGCUUUACACAUGCAAGUCGAACGGUAACAGGCCUUCGGGUGCUGUCGAACGGUGAACGGGUGCGUAAUGCAACCGAACGUACCCAGAGCUGAGGGGUAACGGAGCGAAAGCUGUGCUCAUACCGCAUGUGAUCUGAGGUUGAAAGCGGGGGACCGAGAAGCAAUGUUUAGCUUCGCGCCUUUCUAGUGGCCGAUUCCGCAUUAGCUAGUUGGGGCGGUAACGGCCUACCAAGGCAACGAUGCGUAGCUGAUCUGAGAGGACGAUCGGCCACACUGGGACUGAGACACGGCCCAGACUCCUACGGGAGGCAGCAGUAGGGAAUCUUCCGCAAUGGGCGAAAGCCUGAAGGAGCAACGCCGCGUGAGUGAAGAAGGUCUUCGGAUCGUAAAACUCUGUUAUCAGGGAAGAAAAAAUGUGUAAGUAAAUAUGCACGUCUUGACGGUACCUGCACAAAAAGCCACGGCUAACUACGUG